UGCUAGUUCACUCAGGUUUGAGGAUUGACUUUAUGUCUGUCCUUGCAUUUCCAGGCCUAUGUUCUUCAUAUACCCCCAAUGUAUGUUAUAGAAUGUAAUCAUUAGGCCUCUUUGUGCCUAUAAAUCUUAUACAACUUUCAGCAACGGAUCUCUUGGCUCUCGCAUCGAUGAAGAACGCAGCGAAAUGCGAUAAGUAAUGUGAAUUGCAGAAUUCAGUGAAUCAUCGAAUCUUUGAACGCACCUUGCGCUCCUUGGUAUUCCGAGGAGCAUGCCUGUUUGAGUGUCAUUAAUAUAUCAAUCUCUUCAGCUUUUGCUUGUUGAGCAUUUGGAUGUGGGGGUUGCUGGUCUUUCUCAGAUCAGCUCCCCUGAAAUGCAUUAGCAGAACAAUUUGUGGAACUGUUCAUUGGUGUGAUAACUAUCUACGCUAUUGACGUGAAGCAGGUUCAGCUUCUAACAGUCCAUUGACUUGGACAAAAUUUUCAUUAAUGUGACCUCAAAUCAGGUA
Molecule: ribosomal RNA, 505 nt
Filed under: Phlegmacium psalliotoides
Lineage: Eukaryota; Fungi; Basidiomycota; Agaricomycetes; Agaricales; Cortinariaceae
Description: eukaryotic LSU rRNA
Rfam family: 5.8S ribosomal RNA (bases 133-286)
Source: RNAcentral